GACGAACGCUGGCGGCGUGCUUAACACAUGCAAGUCGAACGGAAAGGCCCUGCUUUUGUGGGGUGCUCGAGUGGCGAACGGGUGAGUAACACGUGAGUAACCUGCCCUUGACUUUGGGAUAACUUCAGGAAACUGGGGCUAAUACCGGAUAGGAGCUCCUGCUGCAUGGUGGGGGUUGGAAAGUUUCGGCGGUUGGGGAUGGACUCGCGGCUUAUCAGCUUGUUGGUGGGGUAGUGGCUUACCAAGGCUUUGACGGGUAGCCGGCCUGAGAGGGUGACCGGCCACGUUGGGACUGAGAGACGGCCCAGACUCCUACGGGAGGCAGCAGUGGGGAAUAUUGCACAAUGGGCGGAAGCCUGAUGCAGCAACGCCGCGUGCGGGAUGACGGCCUUCGGGUUGUAAACCGCUUUCGCCUGUGACGAAGCGUGAGUGACGGUAAUGGGUAAAGAAGCACCGGCUAACUACGUG
RNAcentral lists this ribosomal RNA (468 nucleotides) under uncultured bacterium. RNAcentral's name for it is "partial 16S ribosomal RNA". It matches the Rfam family "Bacterial small subunit ribosomal RNA", at positions 28 to 507 of the family's 1533-position model. The record is from RNAcentral.